Molecule: ribosomal RNA, 327 nt
Filed under: uncultured eukaryote
Lineage: Eukaryota
Description: partial 18S ribosomal RNA
Rfam family: Eukaryotic small subunit ribosomal RNA
Source: RNAcentral
CCCUUAGAUGUUCUGGGCCGCACGCGCGCUACACUGACGAAUGCAACGAGCUUAUAACCUUGGCCGAAAGGUCUGGGUAAUCUCCAAAUUUCGUCGUGAUGGGGAUAGAUUAUUGCAAUUAUUAAUCUUCAACGAGGAAUGCCUAGUAAGCGCAAGUCAUCAGCUUGCGUUGAUUACGUCCCUGCCCUUUGUACACACCGCCCGUCGCUCCUAACGAUUGAAUGGUCCGGUGAAGCGUUCGGACCGUGGCCUUUGGACGGUUCGCCGUCUGUUGGCUGCGGGAAGUUCGUUAAACCUUAUCAUUUAGAGGAAGGAGAAGUCGUANCA